AAGAAAUGAGGAGAACUUUUCAAGCAGUCUGAAAAAAACAAAAUGAAGACUGUCAGAUCCAACUCUGAUCUUCCUAUGACU
Molecule: small nucleolar RNA, 81 nt
Organism: Bombina bombina (fire-bellied toad)
Lineage: Eukaryota; Metazoa; Chordata; Amphibia; Anura; Bombinatoridae
Product: small nucleolar RNA SNORD19
Exons: 1
Source: RefSeq, a predicted model, not a curated record